AGAGUUUGAUCCUGGCUCAGAUUGAACGCUGGCGGCAGGCCUAACACAUGCAAGUCGAGCGGAAACGACACUAACAAUCCUUCGGGUGCGUUAAUGGGCGUCGAGCGGCGGACGGGUGAGUAAUGCCUAGGAAAUUGCCUUGAUGUGGGGGAUAACCAUUGGAAACGAUGGCUAAUACCGCAUGAUGCCUACGGGCCAAAGAGGGGGACCUUCGGGCCUCUCGCGUCAAGAUAUGCCUAGGUGGGAUUAGCUAGUUGGUGAGGUAAUGGCUCACCAAGGCGACGAUCCCUAGCUGGUCUGAGAGGAUGAUCAGCCACACUGGAACUGAGACACGGUCCAGACUCCUACGGGAGGCAGCAGUGGGGAAUAUUGCACAAUGGGCGAAAGCCUGAUGCAGCCAUGCCGCGUGUAUGAAGAAGGCCUUCGGGUUGUAAAGUACUUUCAGUUGUGAGGAAGGGUGUGUAGUUAAUAGCUGCGCAUCUUGACGUUAGCAACAGAAGAAGCACCGGCUAACUCCGUGCCAGCCGCCGCGGUAAUAC
Molecule: ribosomal RNA, 539 nt
Filed under: Vibrio sp. IUET-AK22
Lineage: Bacteria; Pseudomonadati; Pseudomonadota; Gammaproteobacteria; Vibrionales; Vibrionaceae
Also listed under: 1 other name
Description: bacterial SSU rRNA
Rfam family: Bacterial small subunit ribosomal RNA
Source: RNAcentral